Molecule: unclassified non-coding RNA, 329 nt
Filed under: soil metagenome
Description: partial contains 5.8S ribosomal RNA, internal transcribed spacer 2, and large subunit ribosomal RNA
Rfam family: 5.8S ribosomal RNA (bases 1-120)
Source: RNAcentral
GAUGAAGAACGCAGCGAAAUGCGAUAAGUAAUGUGAAUUGCAGAAUUCAGUGAAUCAUCGAAUCUUUGAACGCACAUUGCGCCCCCUGGUAUUCCGGGGGGCAUGCCUGUCCGAGCGUCAUUGCAACCCUCAAGCUCAGCUUGGUGUUGGGCCCCGCCGCCCCGGCGGGCCCUAAAGUCAGUGGCGGUGCCGUCCGGCUCCGAGCGUAGUAAUUCUUCUCGCUCUGGAGGUCCGGUCGUGUGCUCGCCAGCAACCCCCAAUUUUUUUCAGGUUGACCUCGGAUCAGGUAGGGAUACCCGCUGAACUUAAGCAUAUCAAUAAGCGGAGGA